This 198-nucleotide ribosomal RNA is filed under the name uncultured bacterium. RNAcentral describes it as "partial 16S ribosomal RNA". It matches the Rfam family "Bacterial small subunit ribosomal RNA", at positions 328 to 539 of the family's 1533-position model. The record is from RNAcentral.
ACGCUCGACACCUACGGGUGGCAGCAGUGGGGAAUAUUGCACAAUGGGGGAAACCCUGAUGCAGCGACGCCGCGUGAAGGAAGAAGUAUCUCGGUAUGUAAACUUCUAUCAGCAGGGAAGAAAGUGACGGUACCUGACUAAGAAGCCCCGGCUAACUACGUGUCAGCAGCCGCGGUAAUCUGAGCGGGCUGGCAAGGC